Molecule: ribosomal RNA, 266 nt
Filed under: uncultured soil bacterium
Lineage: Bacteria
Description: partial 16S ribosomal RNA
Rfam family: Bacterial small subunit ribosomal RNA
Source: RNAcentral
AGAAUCAACGCUGGCGGCGUGCCUAACACAUGCAAGUCGAGCGCGAAAGGGGGGGUAACUCCCCAAGUAGAGCGGCGAACGGGUGAGUAACGCGUGGGUCAUCUACCUUCGAGUGGGGAAUAACAGCGGGAAACUGCUGCUAAUACCGCAUGACAUCGUCGGGCUUACGGCCUGACGAUCAAAGCCGGGGACCGCAAGGCCUGGCGCUUGAAGAGGAGCCCGCGUCCGAUUAGCUAGUUGCGGGUAACGGCCCACAAGCGACGAUC